CUCGUGGUUCACAUGUUGCUAUCUCUGUGCCAAUUGACACUUUUCCUCUUGGAAGCUCCACCACAAUCGAAGAAGCAGUAGACACAGGCUCACUACACACAGUUCUUGAUGAUGUAGCAGCGCUGCCAAGCACAGGUCUGGUCGAUUUAGGUUCCUUCUUAUCUGGUGAAGGUGUGCUAUUUGUUAAAUUGCCUGCUGCUACUGGCUGUAUGUUAAAAGGGUUUUGUUCUUCUUUCUCCUUAUCAUUUUCCCCACCUAACAGAAGAGAUGAGGAGCCUGCAACUAGGCUGGGCACUGGUGUUUCAAAUGUUGCUGUCUCAGUGCCAAUUGACACUUUUCCUCUUGGAAGCUCUACCACAAUCGAAGAAGCAGUAGACACAGGCUCACUACACACAGUCCUUGAUGAUGAAUCAGCGCUGCCAAGCACAGGUCUGGCCAAUUUAGGUUCCUUCUUAUCUGGUGAAGGUGUGCUAUUUGUUAAAUUGCCUGCUGGUACUGGCUGUGCGUUAAAGGGCUUGUGUUCUGCUUUCUCCUUAUUUUCCCCACCUAAUGGAAGAGAUGAGGAGCCUGCAACUAGGCUGG
Molecule: long non-coding RNA, 582 nt
Filed under: Dermacentor andersoni
Lineage: Eukaryota; Metazoa; Arthropoda; Arachnida; Ixodida; Ixodidae
Description: uncharacterized LOC126542373
Source: RNAcentral